Non-coding RNA from Saimiri boliviensis boliviensis (Bolivian squirrel monkey), 2034 nucleotides. The record is from RefSeq and is a predicted model, not a curated record. NCBI's taxonomy places the organism in Eukaryota, Metazoa, Chordata, Mammalia, Primates, Cebidae.
UGGCACCAUGCAGGUCACCCUGAAGACCCUCCAGCGGCAGACCUUCAAGAUAGACAUCGACCCCGAGGAGAUGGUGAAAGCACUGAAAGAGAAGAUUGAAUCUGAAAAGGGGAAAGAUGCCUUUCCGGUAGCAGGUCAAAAAUUAAUUUAUGCAGGCAAAAUCCUCAAUGAUGAUACUGCUCUCAAAGAAUAUAAAAUUGAUGAGGAAAACUUUGUGGUGGUUAUGGUGACCAAACCCAAAGCAGUGUCAACACCAGCACCAACUACAACUCAGCAGUCAGUUCCUGCCAGCACUUACAGCAGUUACUUCCUCCAUAGUAACAACUGUGGCUCAGGCUCCAACCCCUGCCCCUGCUUUGGCGCCCACUUCAACACCAACGUCCGUCACCCCAGCAUCAGUGACGGCAUCUCCUGAACCUGCACCUGCUAGUGCAACUAAGCAAGAGAAACCUGCAGAAAAGCCAGCAGAGACACCAGUGGCUACGAGCCCAACAUCAACUGACAGUACAUCAGGAGAUUCUUCUCGGUCAAACCUUUUUGAAGAUGCAACAAGUGCACUUGUGACAGGUCAGUCUUAUGAGAAUAUGGUCACUGAGAUCAUGUCAAUGGGCUAUGAACGAGAGCAAGUAAUUGCAGCCCUGAGAGCCAGUUUCAACAGCCCUGACAGAGCAGUGGAGUAUCUUUUAAUGGGAAUCCCUGGAGAUAGAGAAAAUCAGGCCGUGGUUGACCCCCCUCAAGCAGCUAGUACUGGGGCUCCUCAGUCUUCAGCAGUGGCUGCAGCCGCAGCAACUACAACAGCAACGACUACAACAACAAGUUCUGGAGGACAUCGCCUUGAAUUUCUAUGGAAUCAGCCUCAAUUUCAACAGAUGAGACAAAUUAUUCAACAGAAAUCCUUCCCUGCUCCCAGCAUUACUACAGCAGAUAGGUCGAGAGAAUCCUCAGUUACUUCAGCAAAUUAGCCAACACCAGGAGCAUUUUAUUCAGAUGUUAAAUGAACCAGUUCAAGAAGCUGGCAGCCAAGGAGGAGGAGGUGGAGGUGGCAGUGGAGGAAUUGCAGAAGCUGGAAGUGGUCAUAUGAACUCUAUUCAAGUAAUGCCUCAGGAAAAAGAAGCUAUAGAAAGGUUAAAGGCAUUAGGAUUUCCCUGAGGACUUGUGAUCCAAGCAUAUUUUGCUUGUGAGAAGAAUGAAAAUUUGGCUGCCAAUUUUCUUCUACAGCAGAACUUUGAUGAAGAUUGAAAGGGACUUUUUUAUAUCUCACACUUCACACCAGUGCAUUACACUAACUUGUUCACUGGAUUGUCUGGGAUGACUUGGGCUCAUAUCCACAAUACGUGGUAUAAGGUAGUAGAUUGUUGGGGGUGGGGAGGGAGGGAUGUAGGAUAUAGGGCAGGGAUAAAUACAGUGCAUGUCUGCUUCAGUUAGCAGAUGCCGCAACUCCACACAGUGUGUAAAAUAUACAACCAAAAAGCAGCUUUUGCAGGUCUUUAUUUCUUCUGUAAAACAGUAGGUAACUUUUCCUAGGUUUCGUUCUUUUUAGUGUAGAUCCAGAAACUUAGUGUAAUGCCCUGCUUUAUAUUUCUUUGACUUAACAUUGGUUUCAGAAAGAAUCUUAGCUACCUAGAAUUUACAGUCUCUGUUUCAUGGCAACACUGGAUAAUGGCUUUGUGAAAUUUAAAAAAUUUUUGUAGCGACUGUAAACAGAAAUGCCAAAUUAUCGAUGGUUAAUUGUUACUGCUUCAAAAAUAAGUAUAAAAUUAAUGUGUAAGGAAGCCCAUUCUUUCAUGUUAAAUACUUGGGGUGGGAGGGGAGAAAGGGAACCUUUUCUUAAAAUGAAAAUAAUUACUGCUAUUUUAAAAUUUCUUGAUCAUUGAAUGUGAGACCCUUCUAACAUGAUUUGAGAAGCUGUACAAGUAUAGGCAGAGUUAUUUUCCUGUUUACAUUUUUUUGUUUUGUUUUGUUUUGGGGAAAAAUUGAUAGGUGUCUAAUUACUGUUUACUUCAUUGUUACAUUGCAGUAAAAGUUUUAAAACAA